This 21-nucleotide non-coding RNA is filed under the name Caenorhabditis elegans. Lineage: Eukaryota; Metazoa; Nematoda; Chromadorea; Rhabditida; Rhabditidae. The record is from RNAcentral.
UCCGAUUAGAAGGAAACCAAA